GCUGCUUCAUGCAUGCAGGUCUCCUGACACGGCAGCUUGCUGCUUCAUCAAAUUGAGAAAUCUGCUAACAGGCAGACCGACAGGCAGAAAGGUCUUCUUAGCCUGUGUCUGAGCUCCAUUCACUCCAGCCUCAGCGCGUCCGUCUUCGCAGGCUCCUGCCACGAUGCUGCUUUCCCGGGCCCCGCAGCCGAUCCUUGUGCUGUGUGACUUUGGAGGGAUACAGAUUCCUGCUAUAUAGUCACUGUCUUCCUGUUUCAGUCUCCUUCGCUGGGAUUAUAGGUGUGAAAUCCCUCACCCAGAUGCCAGUAUGAGAUCUCAAAUGUUUGCAAAUCUUUUUAUGGUGAAUGUUCUGGCUUGCUGUCUUUAACAGUGUUUAUUUGUAGCAAUAUAAUAAAAUACCCUGCUUCAAAAUACCUGUGAUACUGUUAACAAUGAGACUGCAGAAGAAAGAAGAAUUCUGAAGCCUGAAGCCUGUUCCCCUGCUUGUUUUUUUUUUUUUUUUCUUUUUUCCAUCCAAGAAAGUACUGUGCAGAGAUGUGGAGCGACAAAAUUUUGCUUCCAGGUCUGGUAGAAUAAUAACCCUUUGUCUGGAUUUUGUCACCAAACAAAUGUUGAUUGCUGGUUUGUUUCAGUUUAU
Molecule: non-coding RNA, 637 nt
Organism: Myodes glareolus (Bank vole)
Lineage: Eukaryota; Metazoa; Chordata; Mammalia; Rodentia; Cricetidae
Source: RefSeq, a predicted model, not a curated record